GGAUGAAAAAUUUUGUCCUGCAUUUUUUUUAGCUGUAAUCUCUGUCCUGCCUUUUUAUUUUUCACUCUGUUCGGUCCUGCCUUUUUUUUUUAGUUUAUCCAGACUUUUUUUUACCUAAAUUGUCGUCCUGACUUUUUUUUUUGCAAGUGUCUAAUGCUGCCUUUUUUUUUUUACCUAAAACUCCUGUCCUGCCUAUUUUUUU
This 202-nucleotide long non-coding RNA is filed under the name Mytilus galloprovincialis (Mediterranean mussel). Lineage: Eukaryota; Metazoa; Mollusca; Bivalvia; Mytilida; Mytilidae. The record is from RNAcentral.